GAUCAUUUUUUCAGCCACCAAUAUCCUCAGCAUAAUCAGUUUGGCUACCCAGGCAAUAAUGUUUUUUAUGCGGAUUACGAAGAGGAAAAUCCAGUUCCAGCUAUGCCCAUCAGACAAUUUCCAAAAUAUGACAUCUCAGCAUUUCCUAGGGCUGACAUGUUUCAGAGUGCUACUCAACCAAUGGACAAUAUGGAAAGACCAGUAAGACCUUAUGGACUAAAACGCUCGGGAAAUAGAUAUAACUACUAGAAAGUUUACAAUACAGGGAACACGUGAAAAAUCAGUUGUAUAUUCAGAGUCUUUCUGAAAAUAUCAUGUGAUUUGUUUUUGGUAUGAUUUGAUACAUUUCUAACUUUCUUUGGAAGACUUGAUGAUAUAGAAUACCAGGUUCUGCUUAUUGCCAAAAUUGCUGCAUACCAGUAAUAGCACAGGAAUAUUUUGUAUUGUUUAGCAUGUGCUGAGUGCCAGGAAAUGUCCUAACACACAAAGCCAAAUGUUGUUUUCCUUAGAAAAACACACGAGAAGGAAAAAAUGUUCUUAAAUCUCAGACUAAAGAAACAGAAAAAUCCAUGGAAAACCAUUGCUUUCCCUUUGAAAGGAGGGUCUUGAGUUAUGGGGAGAAGACUGGGAGUAUGGCUCGUAGAUACUCUCGCCUCUUGUUCAUGUGAAAACCUAUCCCAGUGCCACUUUCUGGCCCUCUCUCUUCUUUACAGUGGUCAAUCCACUCCCAUGAGAUUCCUUGCACUGCAUUACUAUGUCAUGUCACAAACUGAAGAGAAAGAGGAAAAGUAGAAUAUUAUUGUUAAGGACAUAAAUUUCCAUCAGCUUUUCUGUCUGAAAUAAAAUGGGUUUUCAGGACAGCAUUGGAUGUAGACUAUCUGCUCCUCAACUGACUUCUUCACAGCCUCUGAUUUUUCCUUUAGGAGCAAUAUUCACAAAAUAAUUCCAGUUACAAUUAUAACUUCUGCUUUUUAUUUACCACCUACAUAGAUUGAAGGCCGAAUUCUGUUCUAGGAUUACAACCAUACAACUAUGCUGACUUCAGUAGUGGUGCACAAAUGUUACUUGGUGCAUAUUUGGUUGCAGAUUUCACAAACUCCACAAACAAAAUUCUACAAAACAUCUUCAUAUAUAUUCAUACACUUCAUAUUGUCCUGCACUAUUCUUCUCCUUUCUGUACAGCAGCUGUCCCAGUCACCAAACGCUUCCAUAACCUAAGGGCUGGCAAGCUUCUAUGGGGUAGGCAGGAGCUUGGAACCAGGCUAUCCCUGGACUACAGGUCUCCAGCCCUCUUCCUACUUUAUGUGGCCAGCUGCCAGAUAUCCAGCCUCUCUGCAGCAAGGAUAAGCUCAGACACCAUGGAGCAGCAGACAGCAGCAGAGUGGAGCUUUGGGGAGAGGAUGGGAGACAUUAGGCUGCCCCUCCAUGGGACUGGACUUCCACAGACCAGAUCCACCCUGCAGGCCACAGGUUGCCAAUCCCUGCUAUAACCCAAUUUCUCACUGAUUGAUGGAAGUUUGUAAUUUUAAACCUACUAGGCAGAAUAUCCUUCUGCUAGAGAUCCAUGAUGUCAGAUCUCCAUGGGUACAUGGGCAUAUAACAAAGAACAGAUAGAGCUGGGGAACAUGUUCUACAGACUCAAAACCUAUCCAUUUGGAAGUUAAUUCUGCUUCAGUUUAUAUUAACUCCUUAUUGCUUUUCCCUCUGGUUGCUACUGUACGAUGCAAAUAAUAGUAAUAUUAUCUUUGGGGCCAUGUGAAAAGUGUGUUGUGAUAUUGAAUGUCCAAGUGACCAAAGAUCUAGCCUAAUCUGGGAACAUCCAUUAAUUAACAGGCCAUUCCAUUGUGCUACCUAGUCUCUCUCGUACUUUGUGCAACCCUUGAAUAUUCAGGAAGGUACUUGAUCAUAUCUCUAAGCCUUCAAGUUCAACUUGAAAUUCUUUAGUUUUCUCUUUUAAAUUAUACUUUGAUGUUUUUGUAAUUUGUUUUAUAAAUAACAUAAAUAAAAUGACACUGAAAAUUACCUACUUUAUGAGCAUCUAAAAAAGAAAAAAUAUAUCAUCUGUCCAGGUCCUGAAUACCUUUGAAAUUGCCAGAAAAAUAGUGUCUUAAGUACAUUUUAACCUUUUUAUUAAAGCAUGAUCUUAAUUAAUUUUAGAAAAUCAAUAAAAAAUUAACUACAGAGAUAUAACAGAAACAGA
Gavialis gangeticus (Gharial) is the source of this 2200-nucleotide long non-coding RNA. RefSeq lists it as uncharacterized. The record is from RefSeq and is a predicted model, not a curated record. The transcript is spliced from 2 exons. Lineage: Eukaryota; Metazoa; Chordata; Crocodylia; Gavialidae.